Molecule: small RNA, 1132 nt
Filed under: Oryza sativa Japonica Group (Japanese rice)
Lineage: Eukaryota; Viridiplantae; Streptophyta; Magnoliopsida; Poales; Poaceae
Description: sRNA Os10g0536150
Source: RNAcentral
GCAUUUAAAAUUUAUCCACAAAUAUGAUGAUUAUUCCUAGAGUACUACUGAUCCCUCUUCCCAAAAUAAGUGACCAAUUUGGAUGUAAAAUUUGUUUCAAGAUAAGUGAUCACAUUACAGUGCUACUUGUCUAUUAAUCACCUCUUGUUCAAACUUCUUAUCUUACCUCAACUACCCUCCCACUUCUAAACAUCCCUCAUUUAGGUCAUUUGCCUUUCCUCAUUAUUUGGCUCAUAUAUAAGUGAUAAAGUAGCUUAUUCAUUUAUUUUAGAACAGAUCGAUGGAGUACUUAUUACAACAAUCACCCGUCAUUCAAAUUUCUUUCUAACUUACACUCAACCACCGUCCCACCUCCAUCUCUCUAUCUUCUCCUCCAACUCUCUCUCUUUUAAUGAGGGGCACCAAAAUAUUUUCUUCUCAACUUUAAUCUCUACUAAACAAUUUGGCAUGUGUAUAUUUGUUAAUGGAGGGAGUAUUUUCUAAGUUCUAAGUACUUGAUAUAUAUCGUUUAACCAGAAAUCUAUACCUAUGUGAAAAAAAUACAUUGUCCAUAGAUCGAUCUUUCAUGAGUAUAUUACUGAAUCAUGCCAAAUUUGGCCAAUGUUACAUAUUAAUUAUGAUCUUAAAGUUUGUUCUGAAAUUACUUUGCCUUGAAUCUUCCAAGCAAGUAUAUAUAUACGUGUAGGCACCACACUUCUCAUGGUCAAAUUUAGAUAUUUAUCAACCUAAUUAGUCAGUCCAUAUAUAGAGAGUUAAUGCAACUAGCUAGUUGCUUUGUCUAAUGUGAGAUCUUUUGUACGUGAACUGUAAACAUUAUAUAUACAACCUCCAUCCUAUAUUACUUGUCGCUUUGAGUUUUUAUUUGUAAUGUUUGAUCAUUCGUCUUAUUCAAAAAUUUUUUACAAUUGUUAUUUAUUUUAUUUGUGAUUUGCUUUAUUAUCAAAAGUAUUUUAAAUAUGACUUAUCUUUUUUAUAUUUGCACUAAUUUUUCAAAUAAAACAAAGGGUCAAACGUUGUAACGAAAAAGUCAAAGCGACAUCUAUUAUGAGACGGAGGUAGUAUGAUCGGUGUGCUGUCUUUAGUCCUGUUUAAGAUACUUAAUUUCUCUGAAAUACAAUUGCUCAUAAUUACA